CUUUUUCAUGGUGCCUUGAAGCCCAUCAGCUGCUUCAAGGUGAAGCUGAAUAUCUCCUUCCCAGCCACUGGCUGCCAGAAACUCGAUGAAGUGGAUGAUGAACACAAGCUCCGUACCUUCUACAAGAAGUACAUGGCCACAGAAGUUGCCGCAGACUUCCUGGGUGAAGAAUGGAAGGGUUAUGUGGUCCGAAUCAGUGGCAGGAGCAAUAAGCAAGGUUUCCCCAUGAAGCAGGGUGUCUUGCCCCGUGACUGUGUCUGCCUGCUGCUGAGUAAGGGGCAUUCCUGUUACAGACCAAGGAGAACUGGAGAAAGAAAGCGCAAAUCUGUUCGGGGUUGCAUUGUGGAUGUCAAUCUGAGCGUUCUCAACUUGGUUAUUUAAAAAAAAGGAGAGAAGGAUAUUCCUGGGCUGACUGAUACUACAGUGCCUUGUCAACUGGGGCCCAAAAGGGCUAGUAGAAUCUGCAAACUCUUCAGUCUCUCUAAAGAAGAUGAUGUCCGCUGGUAUGUUGUAAGAAAGCCCUUAAAGAAGGUAAGAAACCUAGGACCAAAGCACCCAAGAUUCUGCGUCUUGUUACCCUACGUGUCCUGCAACACAAACGCUGACAUAUUGCUUUGAAGAAACAGUGUACUAAGAAAAAUAAGGAAGAGGCUGCAGAAUAUGCUAAUCUUUUGUCCAAGAGAAUGAAGGAGGCCAAAGAAAAACACCAGGAACAGAUUGCCAAGAGACGCAAACUAUCUUCUCUGUGAGCUUCUACUUCCAAGUCUGAGUCUAGUCAAAAAUAA
Molecule: RNA transcript, 785 nt
Organism: Carlito syrichta (Philippine tarsier)
Lineage: Eukaryota; Metazoa; Chordata; Mammalia; Primates; Tarsiidae
Gene name: 40S ribosomal protein S6 pseudogene
Exons: 2
Source: RefSeq, a predicted model, not a curated record